Molecule: non-coding RNA, 1021 nt
Organism: Sus scrofa (pig)
Lineage: Eukaryota; Metazoa; Chordata; Mammalia; Artiodactyla; Suidae
Source: RefSeq, a predicted model, not a curated record
CGGGUGCCACUCAAAAACAAGAUGAUAAAUAAAUAAAUAAAUUAAUUAAUUAAAUAUGCAAAGGAACUUACAAAUGAGGCUUGCUUGGGGUGGUCCCAGACCUCACACCCACCCAUCAGUCUUAGAGUCUAUGUAGAGGUCUUAACUGGGUUCAGGCGGACUCAACCACACAUUACUUCCAGGCUGCAUCCUUGCAACAGCUCCUAUCAUGGGACAGCCCAAGCUCCCUGACGACAUUGUCCAGAAGAUGCUGAUCUUACCAAGGCAGAAAAAACACAGAGGAGGAACUGCAGGCUUGGGAAGGAAACAGACCUAUCAGCAGGCCCCAAGGACAUUCUCCCGGAUAUUUGAACCUGGCUUCCACCAGGAGGCCCUCAGUCCCUGGGGACAACACAACCUUGAACCCUAAGGAAAAGUUUGAAAACUGCACCUAGAUCAGGAACACUUCCCUAAGUUACGAGUCCAAAGAUGAACACAGGAACGCCUAUGUCAUUUGUAGGGCCCAGCGUGGGAUGAAACUAGGGGGCCCCUUGUCAAGAACUUGUGAGAAACUGAAUUUACAAACGGUCAAGGGCCAGACCAUGUAUAAAAACAUGGAAACCAGGAAACCAGCUCCUCAGCUACAACAACCAGUCCCGGAAGCCAGCCUCCUGCACACAAGUGGUCCUUGCAGGAGGUGAGACCGCCAUCUCAAGCGACAAUCCGGGAGCAAUAGUCCUUGUCACAGUGAGCCCCGAAGGCCAGGGCUCGAUCAAUAACUGACGGUUCCCCGAAUGUCUGUCCCUGCUUUCAACUUAGGACCCACCCGAGAAAGCCAAAUAUGCGUCCUAACGAAUCUCGGAGGAUGCCGCGCUUCUGCGGUAACCUUCCCCGGCCGCAGCCUCCUGCCUGGAGCCUCCGCCUUUCUCCACUUUAUCUAAAGCCACCCAGCCCUUCCUCCUGCCUCGGAGUCUCUGCCAAAAGGCCAGCCUGCCUCCCUUGCUCAGAGACGCUCCGAAUAAACAGCCUUUGCCACUUCUCA